Molecule: ribosomal RNA, 879 nt
Filed under: Cassava witches'-broom aster yellows phytoplasma
Lineage: Bacteria; Bacillati; Mycoplasmatota; Mollicutes; Acholeplasmatales; Acholeplasmataceae
Description: bacterial SSU rRNA
Rfam family: Bacterial small subunit ribosomal RNA
Source: RNAcentral
CGGGAGGCAGCAGUAGGGAAUUUUCGGCAAUGGAGGAAACUCUGACCGAGCAACGCCGCGUGAACGAUGAAGUAUUUCGGUACGUAAAGUUCUUUUAUUAGGGAAGAAUAAAUGAUGGAAAAAUCAUUCUGACGGUACCUAAUGAAUAAGCCCCGGCUAACUAUGUGCCAGCAGCCGCGGUAAUACAUAGGGGGCAAGCGUUAUCCGGAAUUAUUGGGCGUAAAGGGUGCGUAGGCGGUUAAAUAAGUUUAUGGUCUAAGUGCAAUGCUUAACAUUGUGAUGCUAUAAAAACUGUUUAGCUAGAGUAAGAUAGAGGCAAGUGGAAUUCCAUGUGUAGUGGUAAAAUGCGUAAAUAUAUGGAGGAACACCAGUAGCGAAGGCGGCUUGCUGGGUCUUUACUGACGCUGAGGCACGAAAGCGUGGGGAGCAAACAGGAUUAGAUACCCUGGUAGUCCACGCCGUAAACGAUGAGUACUAAAUGUUGGGUAAAACCAGUGUUGAAGUUAACACAUUAAGUACUCCGCCUGAGUAGUACGUACGCAAGUAUGAAACUUAAAGGAAUUGACGGGACUCCGCACAAGCGGUGGAUCAUGUUGUUUAAUUCGAAGGUACCCGAAAAACCUCACCAGGUCUUGACAUGCUUCUGCAAAGCUGUAGAAACACAGUGGAGGUUAUCAGUUGCACAGGUGGUGCAUGGUUGUCGUCAGCUCGUGUCGUGAGAUGUUGGGUUAAGUCCCGCAACGAGCGCAACCCUUAUUGUUAGUUGCCAGCACGUAAUGGUGGGGACUUUAGCAAGACUGCCAGUGAUAAAUUGGAGGAAGGUGGGGACGACGUCAAAUCAUCAUGCCCCUUAUGACCUGGGCUACAAACGUGAUNCAA